Long non-coding RNA from Alligator mississippiensis (American alligator), 1182 nucleotides. RefSeq lists it as uncharacterized. The transcript is spliced from 4 exons. The record is from RefSeq and is a predicted model, not a curated record. NCBI's taxonomy places the organism in Eukaryota, Metazoa, Chordata, Crocodylia, Alligatoridae.
CAGAUGAGGACUAUCUCCAGUUGGUGUUAGGCAGCUGAUGUUUUAGUAACUUCAGCCUGCUCCAAGAGGCCAAUACUAGCAAUUUGUGGCCAUCCAGUAUCUCAGGAGGCACCACUCCUAUCUCCUCACAUGUGGGCUAGCUAUUAUCCACUGCCCUGAACUGAGAGCUAAAGACAGAUGGGCAGCUGCAGAAAGUGAGAAGUGGCAUUACUGCUUGACAUCUACCAAAUACUACAAAUACCGAAUACAUCCCUGAAACAUGGAAGAUGCUGAAUUUUCACCAUUUUGGAUUUAAACUUCAUUGCUGAACAAUAAGAAAGAUCUCUACACCUUUUCUGCCAUCUGACAUCACGAAGGAAGGAAUCCUGCCUUAUCUGCACAUCAAAGAGCAACACAACAAAGUCACUCUCAUGGACUCAGAGGAACAGACUUCCACCUUCAGCUUCCUCAGUGAAAAAAUGAAGUUUAUUUUCUACCUAUGGGAACUUCUUACCAUCUCUAAUUUUCCCUGAGCCUGAAGAAGGGCGUGUGCGCCUGAAAGCUUGGAGAAAAAGCACCCACAGUGCUGAUAAGAGGAGAAAGAAAGCACAAAUUCUUGAUCAUCACUGAUAUCCCCAAGAGGAUUAAAAGGGAACAUUCAGAGCUGGAAAAGAACUUCUUCACCACAUCUUACUGACCAUGACUACUGGCCAUAGGACAGUGCUCCUCUUCUCUCAGCAGACUCAAAGAAGAUGUCUGAAAAGUAGCAGUUUCUGGGAAAUUGAUCUACAUAAAAUGAGAAGAAUCAUGAAGGAGACCACCAAAGGUACCAAGAUGACUACCUCUCUGGAAGUCAGCGAGUAGUAGGUGCCUACUUCCAAUUUGUGCUUUAGAAAAUAUCCCAGAAUAGCAUCAAGGAGGAUGAAAGAAGAGCUAAAACCAGCAGAAAAAAGAGGUAUUCUAUUGGAAGAAAAUAAUAUCCUUUUUCUGAAUUGUAUCAGGAAAGCAUUUUCUGUACACAAUGUUUUGGGGUCACAAUGCAAAAGCAUUUUCUCACCUCAGUUUUGCAGAGAAUAAACUUGUUUGUGCCAGCACCUUUUGAAAACUGUAACUGUAAAUCCCUGCAGGUACACUAGCUUGGGAAUAAAUUGUGAUUGGGCUAAUUUUACCAGUGAUUUUCUGGUUUAAUUACAGUGACCAGCU